GAACCUCAGCAGCAGAAGCAGGAGCCGCUGGGCAGCGACUCCGAAGGUGUUAACUGUCUGGCCUAUGAUGAAGCCAUCAUGGCUCAGCAGGACCGAAUUCAGCAAGAGAUUGCUGUGCAGAACCCUCUGGUGUCAGAGCGGCUGGAGCUCUCGGUCCUAUACAAGGAGUAUGCUGAAGAUGACAACAUCUAUCAACAGAAGAUCAAGGUCUGUGAGCUGGGAGGAUGACAUGCGAAAUGGGGCCAGGCAUGGUGGCUCAAGCCUGGAAUCCUAGCACUUUGGGAGGCUGAGGCCAGAGGAUCGCUUGAGCCCAGGAGUUCAAGACCAACCCAGGCAACAUAGUGAGACCUUGUCUCUCCAAAUCAAAAAAUUACUGGGCGUGGUAGCACAUGUCUAUAGUCCCAGCUACUCAAGAGGCUGCGGUUGGAGGAUCACUUGAGCCCAAGAAGUUGAGCCAUGAUUGUACCACUGCACUCCAGCCUGGGUGACAGUGAGACCUGUCUCUAAAAUAAAUAAAUAAAUAAAUAAAUAAAUAAAUGUGACAA
Molecule: small RNA, 545 nt
Filed under: Pan troglodytes (chimpanzee)
Lineage: Eukaryota; Metazoa; Chordata; Mammalia; Primates; Hominidae
Description: processed transcript
Source: RNAcentral